This 327-nucleotide ribosomal RNA is filed under the name uncultured eukaryote. RNAcentral's name for it is "partial 18S ribosomal RNA". It matches the Rfam family "Eukaryotic small subunit ribosomal RNA", at positions 1470 to 1796 of the family's 1831-position model. The record is from RNAcentral.
CCCUUAGAUGUUCUGGGCCGCACGCGCGCUACACUGACGAAUGCAACGAGCUUAUAACCUUGGCCGAAAGGUCUGGGUAAUCUCCAAAUUUCGUCGUGAUGGGGAUAGAUUAUUGCAAUUAUUAAUCUUCAACGAGGAAUGCCUAGUAAGCGCAAGUCAUCAGCUUGCGUUGAUUACGUCCCUGCCCUUUGUACACACCGCCCGUCGCUCCUACCGAUUGAAUGGUCCGGUGAAGCGUUCGGACCGUGGCCUUUGGACGGUUCGCCGUCUGUUGGCUGCGGGAAGUUCGUUAAACCUUAUCAUUUAGAGGAAGGAGAAGUCUUAACA